This is a long non-coding RNA of Symphalangus syndactylus (siamang), 130 nucleotides long. RefSeq lists it as uncharacterized. The record is from RefSeq and is a predicted model, not a curated record. NCBI's taxonomy places the organism in Eukaryota, Metazoa, Chordata, Mammalia, Primates, Hylobatidae.
GGCCUCUCCAGCCAUGCUUCCCGCACAGCCUGUACAACUACAAGACAAGAGAAAGGAAAGAAGGCCUCAGAUUUAUUUGACAAGGCAACAAAAUCAGCUUUCAUGCCAGAGUAAUUCACUGAGAGUCAAG